UCAUCCCUGCUCUGUGCGUGAUGGGCUUUCAAUGUUGAGCCAACGCCUUAAAAAAGGGGAUUACAAUACGUAGAGGGGAUGUAGUAGCCGUAAGGCAAGGCAGUAUCCUCACGAAAAAAUUCCCACCUGCAUUUGCAGGUUCAAACAACGAGGUUCACACGGCAUGGCGGGGUUCAU
This 177-nucleotide non-coding RNA is filed under the name Chloroflexota bacterium. Its description in RNAcentral is "Chloroflexi bacterium 6S RNA". It matches the Rfam family "6S / SsrS RNA". Rfam says of the family: E. coli 6S RNA was the first non coding RNA to be sequenced, but its function was unknown until recently. It consists of 184 nucleotides that fold into an extended hairpin structure with a large single-stranded internal bulge. Lineage: Bacteria; Bacillati; Chloroflexota. The record is from RNAcentral.